Molecule: ribosomal RNA, 680 nt
Filed under: Klebsiella aerogenes
Lineage: Bacteria; Pseudomonadati; Pseudomonadota; Gammaproteobacteria; Enterobacterales; Enterobacteriaceae
Description: bacterial SSU rRNA
Rfam family: Bacterial small subunit ribosomal RNA
Source: RNAcentral
UUUGCCCUUGAAGGCGUGGCUUCCGGAGCUAACGCGUUAAGUCGACCGCCUGGGGAGUACGGCCGCAAGGUUAAAACUCAAAUGAAUUGACGGGGGCCCGCACAAGCGGUGGAGCAUGUGGUUUAAUUCGAUGCAACGCGAAGAACCUUACCUACUCUUGACAUCCAGAGAACUUAGCAGAGAUGCUUUGGUGCCUUCGGGAACUCUGAGACAGGUGCUGCAUGGCUGUCGUCAGCUCGUGUUGUGAAAUGUUGGGUUAAGUCCCGCAACGAGCGCAACCCUUAUCCUUUGUUGCCAGCGGUCCGGCCGGGAACUCAAAGGAGACUGCCAGUGAUAAACUGGAGGAAGGUGGGGAUGACGUCAAGUCAUCAUGGCCCUUACGAGUAGGGCUACACACGUGCUACAAUGGCAUAUACAAAGAGAAGCGACCUCGCGAGAGCAAGCGGACCUCAUAAAGUAUGUCGUAGUCCGGAUUGGAGUCUGCAACUCGACUCCAUGAAGUCGGAAUCGCUAGUAAUCGUAGAUCAGAAUGCUACGGUGAAUACGUUCCCGGGCCUUGUACACACCGCCCGUCACACCAUGGGAGUGGGUUGCAAAAGAAGUAGGUAGCUUAACCUUCGGGAGGGCGCUUACCACUUUGUGAUUCAUGACUGGGGUGAAGUCGUAACAAGGUAACCGUC